CAGGAAGGUAGACUUAUUCUAAUGAGGUGAUGGCACGCGCAGCGGAGAAUUACAUGCGUAUAUCAGACGGUCACUUGAUGCUUGCCGAAACAAAUAGCUUCUGGCUCAACGGCUUCUGUUUCACUCGAGCUUUGAAUCAGAAUUAGGCCUUUUUCAAAACCUCCCACACCACGCCGCCGCCGCCACCGCAACAUUAGGCCUCCACCUCCGUUGCCUGCCAGCCGGUUGUCCUACUACAAAUGCAUGACACAAAAAUCAGUUCCAGGAGCAUAGCAUAGCUUUUGUUUGGACGACAAGCAAGAAACAAACCCAUUGCUUCAUGAGCUCUUCCUAAAUAUGAAGUGGCUAAAGGUAGUAUUUCACUGCAAAGACAAGAAGCACAGAUGGAGAGAUUUGUUUGUAGAUCCAUUGAGAGGAUCAAAUUAUGAUGAUGAGUGAUUUGUCAAUUAAUCCAUGUGUAGUAGAUAAAAUGCAUGUAAUUUUUUUGGAUGAAUGUACAUUUCGUUCCUGCAACGAUUUUAUCAUGCAUGAUUUGUAAUGGUUCAAAGAUGAUAUUGUUUUGAAAUAAAUAUUGAAUUGUGAAGUCAAGUGUUA
Long non-coding RNA from Zea mays, 594 nucleotides. RefSeq lists it as uncharacterized. The transcript has 3 exons. NCBI's taxonomy places the organism in Eukaryota, Viridiplantae, Streptophyta, Magnoliopsida, Poales, Poaceae. The record is from RefSeq and is a predicted model, not a curated record.